GACGAACGCUGGCGGCGUGCCUAAUACAUGCAAGUCGAACGGUUUAGUUCCAAGAGGCUUGCCUUUUGGAACUAGACAGUGGCGGACGGGUGAGUAACACGUAGGCAACCUACCUGUCAAACCGGGAUAACCUCGGGAAACCGAAGCUAAACCCGGAUAAGCUCCUUUUUCGCAUGAAGGGGGAGUGAAAAGGUGCGACCUGAUGACAGAUGGGCCUGCGGCGCAUUAGCUAGUAGGUAGGGUAACGGCCUACCUAGGCGAUGAUGCGUAGCCGACCUGAGAGGGCGUACGGCCACACUGGGACUGAGAUACGGCCCAGACUCCUACGGGGGGCAGCGGUAGGGAAUCUUCGGCGAUGGGCGAAAGCCUGACCGAGCCACGCCGCGUGAGUGAGGAAGGCCUUCGGGUUGUAAAACUCUGUUGUUUGGGAAGAAGGGAAAGGGUAGGACCCUUUGGUGACGGUACCAAACGAGAAAGCCCCGGCUAACUACGUG
Molecule: ribosomal RNA, 494 nt
Filed under: uncultured bacterium
Lineage: Bacteria
Description: partial 16S ribosomal RNA
Rfam family: Bacterial small subunit ribosomal RNA
Source: RNAcentral